CGGCCCCGCUCCCGCCCCUUAAAGGCGCGGCUUGGUUCAAUACUUGGCAGCCAGAGCUCGACCAAGCAGGGCGAAAAUGACUCAGGGCUGGGGAAGAAAUGCAGAAGGAUUCACUCAGAAACUUAAGAACGGGAGUUGUUUAAGGCCCUGCUCCUGCGUCCAUCUCUAAAAUGCAGAUUUGAAACUGGAAUUGCUGUUGGGGGCACUGAGGAUAAAAUCAUCUGUGAUUCUGUGAUUUCAAAUUAGAUAAACAACAAAAAUCUUACCGUCAUGGAUUUUGGUGCCACUUCAACAGCAAAAACCAGCAUAGCUCCCUCUUACGUCUGAAGUGCAAAAAGACAGUUCUGUAGCUGCUCUGCUAACCAUAUUCAUAGGAAAAGAAGAGGAAAGCACUACUCAUCAAGAAAUCGCUCGCCAUGAUCUCAAGAUUUUCACUGAGAAGCCAGCUGAAGUCUCUCCACCACUAACCAAGUAUUUUUAGGUCUAUAUAUAUUUGUUUUCGGUACAUAUAUUUUUAUAUGGUGAUUACAUAACUACAUGGUCCUAAAUUGCUUUAGUUUAACAAAAGUUAAAGAAAAUAUGGUAAGACUAUGAUAAAUAACACCAACAAAUC
Non-coding RNA from Struthio camelus australis, 613 nucleotides. The record is from RefSeq and is a predicted model, not a curated record. Lineage: Eukaryota; Metazoa; Chordata; Aves; Struthioniformes; Struthionidae.